This 375-nucleotide ribosomal RNA is filed under the name uncultured Pseudomonadales bacterium. Its description in RNAcentral is "bacterial SSU rRNA". It matches the Rfam family "Bacterial small subunit ribosomal RNA", at positions 1021 to 1395 of the family's 1533-position model. The record is from RNAcentral. Lineage: Bacteria; Pseudomonadati; Pseudomonadota; Gammaproteobacteria; Pseudomonadales.
CGGGAACUGUGUGACAGGUGCUGCAUGGCUGUCGUCAGCUCGUGUUGUGAAAUGUUGGGUUAAGUCCCGCAACGAGCGCAACCCCUAUCCUUAUUUGCCAGCGCGUUAUGGCGGGAACUCUAAGGAGACUGCCGGUGAUAAACCGGAGGAAGGUGGGGACGACGUCAUGUCAUCAUGGCCCUUACGGGAUGGGCUACACACGUGCUACAAUGGCGUAUACAGAGUGCUGCAAUACCGCGAGGUGGAGCGAAUCACACAAAGUACGUCGUAGUCCGGAUUGGAGUCUGCAACUCGACUCCAUGAAGUCGGAAUCGCUAGUAAUCGUAGAUCAGAAUGCUACGGUGAAUACGUUCCCGGGCCUUGUACACACCGCCC